Pelobates cultripes (western spadefoot toad) is the source of this 267-nucleotide non-coding RNA. The record is from the annotation of a GenBank genome assembly. NCBI's taxonomy places the organism in Eukaryota, Metazoa, Chordata, Amphibia, Anura, Pelobatidae.
GGCAGAACAAUUUCUUGAUUCAUAUUAAAUGAAUUAGUCACCUUAGCAAAAAAGGAGGGAUGAAGUUUCAGAACUACUAUCCAAAUGAAAAACCAGGAAAGGUGGAGAAAAGGCCAAAGCCUGAAGUUCCCUCAGGCGUUUUGAAGAACUAUCCGCAACCAACAACACUGUUUUUAAAGUGAGAAUCUUUAGACUGACUGAAUCCAAGGGUUUAAAAGGAGGUUCAUACAAAGCGGACAGAACAAUGUUUAAAUCCCAUGAAGGAAC